AUCCAUCUUACAAGUCCCAAACAGGACGAAACGCUCGUCCUGGAU
Molecule: non-coding RNA, 45 nt
Filed under: Schistosoma curassoni
Lineage: Eukaryota; Metazoa; Platyhelminthes; Trematoda; Strigeidida; Schistosomatidae
Source: RNAcentral